GCUGACACAUCCCGGCCAAUCUCCAGCAGACACUCCCUCCUACUUCCUGGACAGCAUCCAUGUUGAAGGCAGCUUCAACAUGGAUGCUGUCCAGGAAGUAGGAGGGUCUGGGAGGGAGUGUCUGCUGGAGAUUGGCUGGGAUGUGUCAG
Molecule: microRNA precursor, 149 nt
Filed under: Pelobates cultripes (western spadefoot toad)
Lineage: Eukaryota; Metazoa; Chordata; Amphibia; Anura; Pelobatidae
Source: RNAcentral